AGUGAACGCUGGCGGUAGGCCUAACACAUGCAAGUCGAACGGCAGCACAGUAAGAGCUUGCUCUUACGGGUGGCGAGUGGCGGACGGGUGAGGAGUACAUCGGAAUCUACUUUUUCGUGGGGGAUAACGUAGGGAAACUUACGCUAAUACCGCAUACGACCUACGGGCGAAAGCAGGGGAUCUUCGGACCUUGCGCGAUUGAAUGAGCCGAUGUCGGAUUAGCUAGUUGGCGGGGUAAAGGCCCACCAAGGCGACGAUCCGUAGCUGGUCUGAGAGGAUGAUCAGCCACACUGGAACUGAGACACGGUCCAGACUCCUACGGGAGGCAGCAGUGGGGAAUAUUGGACAAUGGGCGCAAGCCUGAUCCAGCCAUACCGCGUGGGUGAAGAAGGCCUUCGGGUUGUAAAGCCCUUUUGUUGGGAAAGAAAAGCAGCAGGUUAAUACCCCGCUGUUCUGACGGUACCAAAAGAAUAAGCACCGGCUAACUUCGUG
RNAcentral lists this ribosomal RNA (492 nucleotides) under uncultured bacterium. Its description in RNAcentral is "partial 16S ribosomal RNA". It matches the Rfam family "Bacterial small subunit ribosomal RNA", at positions 29 to 507 of the family's 1533-position model. The record is from RNAcentral.